GACGAACGCUGGCGGCGUGCUUAACACAUGCAAGUCGAACGGAAAGGCCCUGCUUUUGUGGGGUGCUCGAGUGGCGAACGGGUGAGUAACACGUGAGUAACCUGCCCUUGACUUUGGGAUAACUUUAGGAAACUGGGGCUAAUACCGGAUAGGAGCUCCUGCUGCAUGGUGGGGGUUGGAAAGUUUCGGCGGUUGGGGCUGGACUCGCGGCUUAUCAGCUUGGUGGUGGGGUAGUGGCUUACCAAGGCUUUGACGGGUAGCCUGCCUGGGCGGGUGACCAGCGCCAAGAGGACUAAGGUACGGCCCAGACGCCUACGGGAGGCAGCAGUGGAAAAUAUUGCGCAAUGGGCGGAAGCCUGAUGCAACAGCGCCGCGUGCGGAAUAACGGCCUUCGGGUUGUAAACCACUUUCGCCUUUGACGAAGCGUGAGUGACGGUAAUGGGUAAAAAAGCACCGGCUAACUACGUG
This 468-nucleotide ribosomal RNA is filed under the name uncultured bacterium. Its description in RNAcentral is "partial 16S ribosomal RNA". It matches the Rfam family "Bacterial small subunit ribosomal RNA", at positions 28 to 507 of the family's 1533-position model. The record is from RNAcentral.